RNAcentral lists this ribosomal RNA (373 nucleotides) under uncultured organism. Its description in RNAcentral is "partial 16S ribosomal RNA". It matches the Rfam family "Bacterial small subunit ribosomal RNA", at positions 527 to 896 of the family's 1533-position model. The record is from RNAcentral.
GUAGGUGGCAAGCGUUGUCCGGAAUUAUUGGGCGUAAAGCGCGCGCAGGUGGGUUCUUUAAGUCUGAUGUGAAAGCCCCCGGGCUCAACCGGGGAGGGUCAUCGGAAACUGGGGAACUUGAGUGCAGGAGAGGAAAGUGGAAUUCCACGUGUAGCGGUGAAAUGCGUAGAUAUGUGGAGGAACACCAGUGGCGAAGGCGACUUUCUGGCCUGUAACUGACACUGAGGCGCGAAAGCGUGGGGAGCAAACAGGAUUAGAUACCCUGGUAGUCCACGCCGUAAACGAUGAGUGCUAAGUGUUGGGGGGUUUCCGCCCCUCAGUGCUGCAGCUAACGCAUUAAGCACUCCGCCUGGGGAGUACGGUCGCAAGACUG